This 415-nucleotide ribosomal RNA is filed under the name uncultured bacterium. RNAcentral describes it as "bacterial SSU rRNA". It matches the Rfam family "Bacterial small subunit ribosomal RNA", at positions 917 to 1333 of the family's 1533-position model. The record is from RNAcentral.
GGACCCGCACAAGCGGUGGAGCAUGUGGUUUAAUUCGAUGCAACGCGAAAAACCUUACCUACUCUUGACAUACUUGGAAGCUCUUGUAAUGAGAGUGUGCCUUUUGGAACCAAGAUACAGGUGCUGCAUGGCUGUCGUCAGCUCGUGUCGUGAGAUGUUCCGUUAAGUUGGAUAACGAGCGCAACCCUUACCCUUAUUUGCCAGCGAUUCGGUCGGGAACUAUAAGGGGACUGCCGGUGAUAAACCGGAGGAAGGUGAGGACGACGUCAAGUCAUCAUGGCCCUUACGAGUAGGGCUACACACGUGCUACAAUGGGGAAUACAGACGGACGCUAAGCCGCGAGGUGGUGCUAAUCCUAGAAAGUUUCUCGUAGUCCGGAUCGGAGUCUGCAACUCGACUCCGUGAAGUCGGAAUU